UGUGACUCACCAGCCGCGCGCGUGCUGGGCAGGUAGAGGCUGGAGUGGUCAGGAGCAUGCCUGGCUCCUGGUGCCUCUCUAUGGAGAGCACCUCUGUGCCUCUCCGAGAGCACUCACAGCCAAAAGUACACAGCUGCCCCCAGGCUGAGAGUGCUUGAUACACCCUUGAAUCCCCUCUUAUAUGAUGCCCCAGCCCAGGAGAGAUAAAAGCAUCAGCACCAUGAGAUUCACCUGCCUCUGGUCGUUAGGGAACAAUGGAGGCCUGCGAUUUGGAGUUAAACUCUCGGUGAUCUCUGUGUUGACAACACCAAAGCUAGAGGAAUCCAGUAGGAUGUGGGCAUGGUUUUCCCGGAAGGCUGACUGAGCAGUUCUGCAAAUGUUUGCAAGUACAGGGCAGAAUUUCAUCCAGCCUCGGAACCUUGAGCCAAGACUCAGCAUCAGCAAAGCCAAAAGUUUCAUUUCUUCAACUGUGGGAGUGCUAGUCCCACCCUUUAGAUGGCCAUUCAGUUUUAAGUUCAAUAAGCAUUUUGAUUGAGAAAUACUUUGCUGAGGAGUGAAAAGUCCUUGGCUUUGAAAGACGAAUGAUGAGCAGUUCAGUGGCCCAUGUCACAGUCCAGGCACCUGCCGAAGGUGACUCCUUGGGAGGAGCAUCUUAGUCACAGAGCCAGUGCCUGCUGUAGGUGUGCAGAAGGGUGCGUGUGUGUGUGUGUGUGUAUGUGUACGUGUACAUGUGUGUUGGGGGAAGGGAGCAAGGUUAUGGGAGCAUUUCUUAUCUGCUCUCCUCUGCAAGAUUUCCUGUGAUUUAAGUCACAUUAAAGUACCCAUAAGCCCAUAAUGCAAAAGAACCCCAAAACCAGCCCAGCAGCCAACCAUGGCAGCAAGUAGAUGCUCUGGUCUUUAGAUAGUCAGAAAUGACACUUCUGGGCUCUCAGGCAGUCAGUGGGUUGAGCUCCCCAUUAAAGUCCCCCUGCCAAGUCUGGAAUAGUCCUAGUCCCGUGUGUGUGUGUGUGUGUGUGUGUGGUGUGUGUGUGUGUACCCGCGUGCAUAUGCGCGCAUGCAGUGCAGGGUCUGCAUACCUAAAGCAGAUGAAAUUCUGCAGAAUGGCUGCCUCACUAGACAAAGUCAAGAAGACAGACCGAGGAGAGAGAGGUUGAUGUGUCUCCACUACCAAGAGAUAGGCUUCUCUAAGCCAGCAAGACAUCCCAUCCAACAAUAUGAAACUGGCCACAUUUCCUUGAGAUGUCAACGUUGAAAGUGUAGCUGCAUCUUUAUUCUUCACUGUUAUGAAGUUGGGUGCAACAUAGCUUGAGUGGAAUACAAAAACACCGCUUGGAAACACAUGAUCUGGAUUUGAAUCGCAGCUGUAUCAUUCACCUGCUAUAGACUUUGAGCAAGACCUCUCUGAGGUUAUUUCUUCACAGUAGGUAGAGACAAGACUUACUUCAAAGGUUCUUAAAGUUGAACCUGAGUCAAUGAAUGCAAAAAUGUUCACAUUUAAACUGUAAUUUUAAAGCACAAUACAAGUAAAUAGCAUUAAUAUCAUUAGAGAGAUUAACUUAGCACUGUGCGUCACAUGAUUCAUCACGGGCCAUCUGUGAGAUAUCAAAUAGAGAGGUGAAGCCUGCAGUAAUAAAAAAUACUGCCAUAGCUAUAA
This 1654-nucleotide small RNA is filed under the name Pan troglodytes (chimpanzee). Its description in RNAcentral is "sense intronic". Lineage: Eukaryota; Metazoa; Chordata; Mammalia; Primates; Hominidae. The record is from RNAcentral.